RNAcentral lists this ribosomal RNA (292 nucleotides) under uncultured bacterium. RNAcentral describes it as "partial 16S ribosomal RNA". It matches the Rfam family "Bacterial small subunit ribosomal RNA", at positions 505 to 796 of the family's 1533-position model. The record is from RNAcentral.
GUGUCAGCAGCCGCGGUAAUACGAAGGGUGCAAGCGUUAAUCGGAAUUACUGGGCGUAAAGCGUGCGUAGACGGCCUGUUAAGUCGGAUGUGAAAGCCCCGGGCUCAACCUGGGAAUGGCAUCCGAUACUGAUGGGCUGGAGUGCGGUAGAGGAGAGCGGAAUUCCCGGUGUAGCGGUGAAAUGCGUAGAGAUCGGGAGGAACAUCCGUGGCGAAGGCGGCUCUCUGGACCAGCACUGACGUUGAGGCACGAAAGCGUGGGGAGCAAACAGGAUUAGAUACCCUUGUAGUCC